This 800-nucleotide ribosomal RNA is filed under the name uncultured bacterium. Its description in RNAcentral is "bacterial SSU rRNA". It matches the Rfam family "Bacterial small subunit ribosomal RNA", at positions 8 to 819 of the family's 1533-position model. The record is from RNAcentral.
AGAGUUUGAUCCUGGCUCAGGAUGAACGCUGGCGGCGUGCCUAACACAUGCAAGUCUAACGGAGUUAUGAUGAAACCUAGUGAUUCAUAACUCAGUGGCGGACGGGUGAGUAACGUGUGGGUAACCUGCCGUAUACAGGGGGAUAACACUUAGAAAUAGGUGCUAAAACCGCAUAAGCGCACAGGAUCGCAUGAUCCGGUGUGAAAAACUCCGGUGGUAUACGAUGGACCCGCAUCUGAUUAGCUAGUUGGUGAGGUAACGGCCCACCAAGGCGACGAUCAGUAGCCGGCCUGAGAGGGUGAACGGCCACAUUGGGACUGAGACACGGCCCAAACUCCUACGGGAGGCAGCAGUGGGGAAUAUUGCACAAUGGGGGAAACCCUGAUGCAGCAACGCCGCGUGAGUGAAGAAGUAUUUCGGUAUGUAAAGCUCUAUCAGCAGGGAAGAAAAUGACGGUACCUGACUAAGAAGCCCCGGCUAACUACGUGCCAGCAGCCGCGGUAAUACGUAGGGGGCAAGCGUUAUCCGGAUUUACUGGGUGUAAAGGGAGCGUAGACGGUUAAGCAAGUCUGAAGUGAAAUGCCGGGGCUCAACCCCGGAACUGCUUUGGAAACUGUUAAACUGGAGUGCAGGAGAGGUAAGUGGAAUUCCUAGUGUAGCGGUGAAAUGCGUAGAUAUUAGGAGGAACACCAGUGGCGAAGGCGGCUUACUGGACUGUAACUGACGUUGAGGCUCGAAAGCGUGGGGAGCAAACAGGAUUAGAUACCCUGGUAGUCCACGCCGUAAACGAUGAUUACUAG